This 253-nucleotide ribosomal RNA is filed under the name uncultured bacterium. RNAcentral's name for it is "partial 16S ribosomal RNA". It matches the Rfam family "Bacterial small subunit ribosomal RNA", at positions 524 to 776 of the family's 1533-position model. The record is from RNAcentral.
UACAGAGGGUGCGAGCGUUAAUCGGAAUUACUGGGCGUAAAGGGCGCGUAGGUGGUUGCGUAAGAUUGAUGUGAAAUCCCUGGGCUUAACCUAGGAACUGCAUCGAUGACUGCGUAGCUAGAGUACUGUAGAGGGUAGUGGAAUUUCCGGUGUAGCGGUGAAAUGCGUAGAGAUCGGAAGGAACACCAGUGGCGAAGGCGGGUCUCUGGGCAGUAACUGACGCUGAGGAGCGAAAGCGUGGGGAGCGAACAGG